Long non-coding RNA from Astyanax mexicanus (Mexican tetra), 737 nucleotides. RefSeq lists it as uncharacterized. The record is from RefSeq and is a predicted model, not a curated record. NCBI's taxonomy places the organism in Eukaryota, Metazoa, Chordata, Actinopteri, Characiformes, Acestrorhamphidae. The transcript is spliced from 3 exons.
GCAGUGUGGGCAGUGUACCAAGUCCUGCUGGAAAAUGAAAUCUUUAUCCCCAUAAAAGUUGUCAGCAACAACACCAGGAGAUGACAUGGCUCUUCAAACCAUCAUUGAUCCCAUUUUCCAGAAGGACUUGGCACACUGCCAAAAGUAACAGUUGGUUUUAUAUAAUAUUCUAGUUUUCUGAGAUACUGAUUUUUGGGUUUUCAUUGGCUGUAAACCAUAAUCAUCAACAAUUAAAGAAAUAAAGACUUAAAAUAGAUCACUCUGUGUGUAAUACAUCUAUAUAAUAUAUAAGUUUCACAUUUUGAACUAAAAGUCACUUUUUAAUGAUAUUCAAACCCAGAAUGCUAGCAUUAUUCCCGGCCUGAACAACUGUCCCAUUCUGACCCUAAUUUAAACAAAGAACAAAAAAAACAAGGAAAUAACGAAUGGAAUUUAAUUUAAGCAGACAAACCUGUUUUUAGUGAACUACAGUCAUUGUUACUCUAAAAUACUUUCAGUUUAAGAAGAGACUCGUCGCCUCACCACAGAGAGCCAGCUGUCUAUUUAAAACUCCAGUAUCAAGAAAUAAAGGAAGAUUGAGGCCUGUUAGAGGAGAAACAGCUCUAUGACGAUGUCUCAUACCAACAGCAGUGGAGGGAGUGGCUCACAGGUGAAAAGAGCAGAUUCUCCAGAGCCCAGCUGUGUUUCUAUGAAGAGCGAGCAGUCCAUGCCGGAGCCUCUACAGUUCAGCAGAGGAG